AAACUACUCCCUCCGUUCCGAAUUACUUGUCUUGGAUUUGUCUAGAUAUGGAUGUAACUAGCACUAAAAUGAGUCUAGAUAAAUCUGUAUCUAGACAAAUCCAAGACAGUAAUUCGGAAUGGAGGGAGUACAUG
This is a non-coding RNA of Triticum aestivum (bread wheat), 134 nucleotides long. The record is from Rfam. NCBI's taxonomy places the organism in Eukaryota, Viridiplantae, Streptophyta, Magnoliopsida, Poales, Poaceae.